This 587-nucleotide ribosomal RNA is filed under the name uncultured bacterium. RNAcentral describes it as "bacterial SSU rRNA". It matches the Rfam family "Bacterial small subunit ribosomal RNA", at positions 337 to 916 of the family's 1533-position model. The record is from RNAcentral.
UCCUACGGGAGGCAGCAGUGGGGAAUAUUGGACAAUGGGGGCAACCCUGAUCCAGCCAUGCCGCGUGUGUGAAGAAGGCCCUCGGGUUGUAAAGCACUUUCAGCGAGGAAGAACGCCUAGCGGUUAAUACCCGCUAGGAAAGACAUCACUCGCAGAAGAAGCACCGGCUAACUCCGUGCCAGCAGCCGCGGUAAUACGGAGGGUGCAAGCGUUAAUCGGAAUUACUGGGCGUAAAGCGCGCGUAGGUGGCUUGAUAAGCCGGUUGUGAAAGCCCCGGGCUCAACCUGGGAACGGCAUCCGGAACUGUCAAGCUAGAGUGCAGGAGAGGAAGGUAGAAUUCCCGGUGUAGCGGUGAAAUGCGUAGAGAUCGGGAGGAAUACCAGUGGCGAAGGCGGCCUUCUGGACUGACACUGACACUGAGGUGCGAAAGCGUGGGUAGCAAACAGGAUUAGAUACCCUGGUAGUCCACGCCGUAAACGAUGUCGACCAGCCGUUGGGUGCCUAGCGCACUUUGUGGCGAAGUUAACGCGAUAAGCCGACCGCCUGGGGAGUACGGCCGCAAGGUUAAAACUCAAAUGAAUUGACGG